RNAcentral lists this long non-coding RNA (1327 nucleotides) under Cyanistes caeruleus (blue tit). RNAcentral's name for it is "lncRNA (ENSCCEG00000009067.1)". The record is from RNAcentral. Lineage: Eukaryota; Metazoa; Chordata; Aves; Passeriformes; Paridae.
CUGGAUUCUGUUUGGACAAAACUGAACUGGAGGCUUUGAUCCAGGCAUGCGCCAAAUGUUCUCCAACUCCUAUUACAGGAACAAGAGGCCAAACCAAUGACCAGACCUCCUGAAAGCUUGGAAUCACACUCUGAGAUAUUUCAGUUUGGGGAUUUGGGCUAAAUCAGCUUUAAAGGAAUCCUGUUUCUAUCUCCCCCAGAGCACAGAUAAAAACCCUCAGCUCCAACCCCUCCAAUCUAUUGAUCUGCUCCUGUGGCCACAGCUGCCUUGAGAAAGUAGAUGUAGCCUAUGACAUCUUGAAAGCAUUCCAGAUUUUAAAAAUGUUUUCUGUGCUAGUUGUUUUUUGCUUCUCUUUUCCUUGGAUCUGGUGCAAAUAUUCUUAAAUGAAUUUUAAAUGAUCUGAGCCUGUGCCCGUUUCUUUUGUUGCAAAAUUUAAGAUCAACCUAGCUUUUUUUUUUUUCUUCUCCCAAAGAUCAUGCUGCACUGUGAAACUAUUUGGGCAGAUUUUUCCCCUCAUUUUCACUGAAAUUGCUUUUUAUGGAGAUAUUUAAGAGGAUGAUAUACAUUGAUGCUCUCAAAAAGGAUGAAAGGAAAUUGUGAGAACUAUAAGAACUCUAUCACAACACUUUUAUCUUCGGGUUUUCAAAGCUGUCUACUGCCUUACAAUGAAAAUAGCCAACUCCUAAGUCUACUUAUACCAGUGGGCACCAAAGUUUAUGAUGCCACCAUCACCAAGGAGGCACAUGGAAGCAGGCCACAGAAGAAUUUAAAUUUCCAUCCACUUAAAGAGCAGGGGUAGCAGCUAAAUUUACAACCUUAUCCCUCAGAAGGAAAGCCUGAAGUUAUUGAGAAGACUGCAAGUGCCAGAUGACUUUUCUCCCUCGUGGAAAGCCCCAGCAGCAGUCAUCCAGGAUGGAGGACCAACAACAACAAGUAACCACCCUGGAGUGGCAAAAUCUGACUCUCAACAAAGCAAAUUCAACACCUGAACUUUAGUUUCUCAUGGGUUAAAGCUUUGACAUCAUUGCCCUUGGAGGCUGAGGUUCAGGCUCCAUUAAUUUACAGGGAAGGACACGUGUGAGGAGCUCCCCACAGCCCGUGGUGGGGAUGUUUUGUGGCAGCACAAAAUCUCCACACAAUGCAGCAUGAUUGGCAGUGCAGGAAAGGCUGCAGCUGCUGGGAUGGCAGUCGGUGAUGGGGACUUGCCCACUGCAUCCCAGAGCACUGGGAACCUUCCUCAUCCCUGCUUUGGAGUUCACCCAGUCCUUUGCCUCACACCUAAAAUUCCAGAAAUAAAUUUCUUUGCCCCUGGUAGAUAAGGUAGUUU